RNAcentral lists this ribosomal RNA (301 nucleotides) under uncultured bacterium. RNAcentral describes it as "partial 16S ribosomal RNA". It matches the Rfam family "Bacterial small subunit ribosomal RNA", at positions 509 to 807 of the family's 1533-position model. The record is from RNAcentral.
CAGUAGCCGCGGUAAUACGAAGGGUGCAAGCGUUAAUCGGAAUUACUGGGCGUAAGGCGUGCGCAGGCGGUGAGUUAAGUCUGCUGUGAAAUCCCCGGGCUCAACCUGGGAAUGGCAGUGGAUACUGGCUCGCUAGAGUGUGUCAGAGGAUGGUAGAAUUCCCGGUGUAGCGGUGGAAUGCGUAGAGAUCGGGAGGAACAUCAGUGGCGAAGGCGGCCAUCUGGGACAACACUGACGCUGAGGCACGAAAGCGUGGGGAGCAAACAGGAUUAGAUACCCCCGUAGUCCCUGUCUCUUAUAC